GAGUUGCGAACGGGUGAGUAACGCGUAGGUAACCUGCCUGGUAGCGGGGGAUAACUAUUGGAAACGAUAGCUAAUACCGCAUAAAAUGGAUAAUCGCAUGAUAAUCAAUUGAAAGGUGCAAAUGCAUCACUACCAGAUGGACCUGCGUUGUAUUAGCUAGUUGGUGAGGUAACGGCUCACCAAGGCAACGAUACAUAGCCGACCUGAGAGGGUGAUCGGCCACACUGGGACUGAGACACGGCCCAGACUCC
RNAcentral lists this ribosomal RNA (251 nucleotides) under uncultured Streptococcus sp. RNAcentral describes it as "partial 16S ribosomal RNA". It matches the Rfam family "Bacterial small subunit ribosomal RNA", at positions 93 to 339 of the family's 1533-position model. The record is from RNAcentral. Lineage: Bacteria; Bacillati; Bacillota; Bacilli; Lactobacillales; Streptococcaceae.